This is a non-coding RNA of Amblyraja radiata (thorny skate), 2064 nucleotides long. The record is from the annotation of a RefSeq genome assembly. NCBI's taxonomy places the organism in Eukaryota, Metazoa, Chordata, Chondrichthyes, Rajiformes, Rajidae.
GACGGCCAGGAACCUGAGGAUCGAAGACACCGCUGUCUAUUACUGUGCGAGAGACACAGUGUGAGCAUUCAGUGUCAGACCCGUACAAGAACGGCACGUUGGGAAGUCCAGCUUUUACCAUCAAAGACUAGAGAUCAUGUUAUUGUGUGAGGAAGCCCAUAGAAUGUAACACUGUGACUAUCUUGACUACUGGGGAGCAGGCACCAUGGUGACGGUAACCAACGCGGCUCCAUCGGCGCCCAGUCCCUUCAUUCUCUUCACCUGCGAGGAUCACGGCUCCAGUGGUUCGUUCACCUAUGGUUGUUUGGCGUUGGGCUAUUCCCCUGCAGGCGCCAAUGUUUCUUGGAAGAAAGAUGAUAUACAACUGGAGACCGGAGUGAAGGACUACCCGGCAGUGUUCAAUAAGUUGGGAACUUAUACCCGGAGCAGCGAGUUAACCAUCACCGAGGCGGCGGCAGGGGGAGGUGACAUCUUCUGCGUGGUUCAGCACGACCAAAAAGAGUAUAAAGUGAAAGUACCACUUUCAGUCCCCGUGGUACAUCAUCCUACCGUCACCAUUACCAUAACUGCUCUUGAUGAAAUUAAGCGCAGCAGAAAAGCGAUCGCCGUGUGUUUGGUCAACGAUUUCACCCCAGCCAAAUUUACAGUGAACUGGCUGAAGAAUGGCGCGCCAUUGGAUUCUGGCAUCGUCACCUCUCCCGCCUUCCAGGUGAACGGUAACGGUAACUUCUCGGCGACCAGUCAGUUGACAUUCCCAGCUGAAGAGUGGUUCAAAGAUUUCGUCUAUACCUGCCAAGUCAACCAUGAAAAAGAUUUGAAAAGCCAAAACAUCAGUAUGUCGCCAGAUGAUGGUUCCUGCGACAAACUGAUUAUUACAAUCCUUCCACCACAAGUUGAACAAGAGUUAAUGGAGAUGACCGUGACGUUAACCUGUCUGGUAUCCGAUGCACCUUAUGGUAUCACAGUAUCUUGGAAACGUGACAAUGUACAUUUGGUAUCAGAAAUCCAGCCCACAGGACAUGCAGAUAUCGUAGAGAGCAAAGUCAACAUUUCGACUCAAGACUGGCUGAGUGGGGAUUAUUUCAAAUGCGUGGUGAGCCAUGGUAAUAUGCCAAAGCCAAAAACUGAACGAAUCAACUGGAAGAAAGGUCAACAUCUGCUGCCACCUUCCGUCUCAGUCCUUCUGCCGCCGACAGAAGAAAUCUCCGCGCACAAGACUAUCACCCUCACCUGCUUCGUGAGAGGAUUCUCCCCUCGCAGGGUCUUCGUCACGUGGACACUUGAUGACAAGCGGGUGGAUGAGAGCAAGUACAAGAACACCGAGGUGGAGGCGGAGAACGGCAAUGGCACCUUCUUCACAUACAGCCUGUUAUCCGUUGGGGCAGAGGAGUGGAAUAGCGGAGCCUCCUUCUCCUGUCUAGUGGGGCACGAAGCACUCCCCAUGAAGACCAUCGUCAGAACGGUCAAUAAGUCCAGCGAUUACGCCGACAACGUUCCUCUAGAGGACUAUGAGGAAGACAGAGACAAUAUCUGGACAACCGCUUCCACAUUCAUUAUCUUGUUCUUCCUGAGCAUUUCCUACGGUGCUGCCGUAACUCUGGUGAAGGUCAAGUGACGAUUGAAUGGUGAAAACCGCGCAUUUAUCUGACCGGUCUAUGGACGUCGUUGUAACCAAGGGAAAUGUUUAAAUCAGAAGCGGACAAUGUCAUAAACAAUAGUUUAUUCUGUCUAUCUGACUUGUUUGAUAUUGCCUAGUUACCUUUAGUAUAGCGUUAAUGUAUCAAAAUAUUUUAAUCGUAAUUUGAAUAUCAUGUGAAAAUAAGUCAAUUUUCUCAAACGGUAGACGUUUCUUUUCUUCUUUUUAUCUUUUUUUCUAUACAUUCUCUUUUGCUUUAGCAUGGGCCAUAUUUGUGUCCAUGUUGAAUGCCGUUGUAUAGAAAGUCGGGAACGCUGUUUGUGUGAGAUCGUAAUCUUCAUGUUACAUUCAGACACACUAUCUAUGCCUGUCAUUAUUCUAACAACUUCUACCGUGUCCCACUUCAACCACCGACGCGCCAAAUAAAA